RNAcentral lists this ribosomal RNA (477 nucleotides) under uncultured bacterium. RNAcentral describes it as "bacterial SSU rRNA". It matches the Rfam family "Bacterial small subunit ribosomal RNA", at positions 365 to 832 of the family's 1533-position model. The record is from RNAcentral.
UUCGCAAUGCCCGAAAGGGUGACGAAGCGACGCCGCGUGCGGGAAGAAGGCCUUCGGGUUGUAAACCGCUGUCGGGAGUUAGGAAGUGCAAGGAUGUUAAUAGCGUUCUUGCUUGACUAAGGCUCCGGAGGAAGCCACGGCUAACCCUGUGCCAGCAGCCGCGGUAAUACAGAGGCGGCAAGCGUUGUUCGGAAUUAUUGGGCGUAAAGAGCACGUAGGCGGCUGUGUAAGUCGGUUGUGAAAGCCUUCCGCUUAACGGAAGAACGGCAUCCGAUACUGCAUAGCUUGAGUGCGAGAGGGGAGAGUGGAACUUCUGGUGGAGCGGUGAAAUGCGUAGAUAUCAGAAGGAACACCGGCGGCGAAGGCGACUCUCUGGUCCGUAACUGACGCUGAGUGUGCGAAAGCUAGGGGAGCAAACGGGAUUAGAUACCCCGGUAGUCCUAGCCGUAAACGAUGGGCACUAAGUAGAGGGGUUUU